Molecule: long non-coding RNA, 1759 nt
Organism: Alexandromys fortis (reed vole)
Lineage: Eukaryota; Metazoa; Chordata; Mammalia; Rodentia; Cricetidae
Exons: 3
Source: RefSeq, a predicted model, not a curated record
CCUAGACAAGUUCCAGUCUCCUGAUUCCUGGACGUUCCAGGACGCCGUUGAAGGCACCCCAGUUUUUUCGUGCUGUAGGUGUCCCGAAGCCCAUCUCCCGCGCGCAGAGUGUCUAGUGUCCAUACCCAGCGAGCCCUGAUUCGACCCACGAGGACGCACAGGCCCAGAGAUUUGACUUCAAAGGACACUCCAGAUUCAGAAAUGACCAGCCAAAGUUAGGAUGCACCAGAGGCCUGUGUUUGGAGGUAUUGUACCUGGGCCCGCUGCCUGCCACCACAUGGCCCGCUACCACCAUUUGGGACCUACAGCAUUUCUGCUGCCUACUGCCACAGGAAUCUUGCAGCAUUUUUUAAAAAAGAAUAUUAGUACCUAUGCAGUUCAUUUAAAAAUCUAAGAUAAAAUUCUAGUUUUUAAAAGCUCUGGGUGACUGUCCAGACAGUCAGAUGUCUCUGUCAUUUCUAGAGUUUUUAGAAGUAAUUUGCAAUGCACUUUUUGUUUAUUUAAAUAAUAUUAUAUCCUCUGGUGCUUUUGAUGGAGUUGAAGACUAGAUAGUUAUAAUUGACAUUUUCCUUAAAUAUGAUAGCAAGUAAGUUAGGUAUAAAAUUUUGGAAUUCCUGAGAUAGGAUAGAUUACGGAGUAUUUUCUUUAAAUUUACCAGACACAAAUGAAUUGGAAUUUCGUAUACUGUGAAUGAAAUCUUUACUUGAUAAUUGUUCUUUUUGUACAUGGUCUUACUAUGUUAAAGUUAAAUUUUUUCACUUUUGUUUAGAAAGAAAAAGGGGGAAAUGUUGGGGAACAUUAUUUUCAGCUGUGUGACUUUCGUUUACACUGCAUCUCUCUAACUCUGUGAAACUGUGUCACUGUACCUACCUAAAACACCUGAUGGUCUAAUAAAGAGAUGAACAGCCAAUAGUGAGGCAAGAGCAAGGAUAGGUGGGGCUGGCAGGCAGAGAGGAUAAAAGGAGAAACUAGGAGAAACAGGAGAACAAGGAGAGGAAGACACCAGGGGCCAGCCAUCCAGCUACACAGCAAGUCACAGAGAAAGAAGUAAAGAAAGGCAUACAGAAGCAGAGAAAGAUAAAAGCCCAGAGGCAAAAGGUAGUUGGGAUAAUUUAGGUUAAGAAAAUCUGGCAAGAAACAAGCCAAGCUAAGUCUUGGUGUUCAUAACUAAGAAUAAGCCUCUGUGUUUGAUUUAUCUGGGAGCUGGGUGGUAGUCCCCCCAAAAAGUCAAAAGAGCAAAAUAUCUCACACAACACAUGAUACACACACAUACAUACAUACAGAUAAAACACCCACACAAAUAAAAUAAAUAAUUCCAAGAAAAUUGAAUACAUAAUUAUAAAUAAAUGUCAGACAACUUAGGUUGAUCCCCUUCUCUGAAGACUUAGUUAUAAAAAUAUCUGAAAACCAAAGCCUUGUUAUAGGCCUGGGCACAUAGCUCAGUUGGUAGAAUGCUGUCCUGGGAGGCACAGUACCCCAAGUUUGAUCCCCAGCAGCGUAAAGGGGGCGUGGAAGUAUAUAUCUGAAGUCCUACCACCUCUGAGGUGGAGGCAGGGAGAUCAGACAUUCAAACUCAUUCUUGUCUAUGAAGCAAGUUCAAGGCCAGCCUCGAACACCUGGAAUCCUGUCUUUAAAAGAAUUAUCCAGGCAUGGUAGCUCAUGCUUGUAGUUAAACACUAGAGAAGAUGAGGCAGGGGGAUUGCUACAAGCUUGAGGCUAGCUUGGGCCACAUAGUGUGAUGCAGGUUAAUCUGGGUCAA